Molecule: ribosomal RNA, 404 nt
Filed under: uncultured bacterium
Lineage: Bacteria
Description: bacterial SSU rRNA
Rfam family: Bacterial small subunit ribosomal RNA
Source: RNAcentral
UGGGGAAUAUUGGACAAUGGGCGCAAGCCUGAUCCAGCCAUGCCGCGUGAGUGAUGAAGGCCUUCGGGUUGUAAAGCUCUUUUGGCGGGGACGAUGAUGACGGUACCCGCAGAAUAAGCCCCGGCAAACUUCGUGCCAGCAGCCGCGGUAAGACGAAGGGGGCAAGCGUUGUUCGGAAUUACUGGGCGUAAAGGGCGCGUAGGCGGCGCAUUAAGUCAGGCGUGAAAGCCCUGGGCUCAACCUGGGAGUGGCGCUUGAUACUGGUGUGCUAGAGAGCGGGAGAGGAUGGUGGAAUUCCCAGUGUAGAGGUGAAAUUCGUAGAUAUUGGGAAGAACACCGGUGGCGAAGGCGGCCAUCUGGACCGUAUCUGACGCUGAGGCGCGAAAGCGUGGGGAGCAAACAGG